AAAGAAAAUAAAAGAAAAGAAAAACAGCUCUGCAGAGGAUUCCAAAUCCUCCUUUCACUUUAUAAAAUUUAAACUACAAUUCUCAAAAGAAAAACAAAAAAAAUUAAAUGCAUGACUUUCCAUUCCCACAGCAAUCCAGAUCUCGAAAAGAAAAACCCAGAAAUGAGAUCAAAUCAAAAUUAUAUACAGAUAAAAAUCUAACCAUUUAUAACAUCACAUUGUUUACCAAAAUUGAGAUAAACCCAACAAAAAUGGAAGCGAUUUAGGGUUUUGUGGAGGGUAAAUACCA
Molecule: unclassified non-coding RNA, 289 nt
Filed under: Hevea brasiliensis (rubber tree)
Lineage: Eukaryota; Viridiplantae; Streptophyta; Magnoliopsida; Malpighiales; Euphorbiaceae
Source: RNAcentral